Molecule: ribosomal RNA, 263 nt
Filed under: uncultured bacterium
Lineage: Bacteria
Description: partial 16S ribosomal RNA
Rfam family: Bacterial small subunit ribosomal RNA
Source: RNAcentral
UACGAGGGCUUCGUAGCAGUGUCCGUCUUAACUAGGCUGUAAAGGGAGCAUAGGCGGUUCCAUAGUUAGUCUCAAAACAAGCACUGAUAUUUUGACUAAUGAUUCUUUGGCAACUCUGAGGAAAGCGGACGAUAGUGGUUACUUUCAAAUAAGCAGUGUAAAUGCCGUAAGAUUGAAAGGACCACCACGUGGCGAUUGCAACUAUCGACGCUUUUUUUAUUUUAAACCUGACGCUGAAGAUCGAAAGUGUGGGUAGCAAAUCG